ACGGUGCCUUAUGCAAAGAGCCAUAAGGGUAAAAGGGAAACAGUUGAAAAUACUGUACGAUCUCGUCACUGUGAAAGCGGAGCAGACAGCAGUGUUAUCUGUCGGAGUACAGAUACGGUCACUGGAUAACAUCCGGGAAGGCAGCUGUAUGUGAAGAUGCUCAAGUCAGGAAACCUGCCGUUUUG
This 185-nucleotide non-coding RNA is filed under the name pig gut metagenome. The record is from RNAcentral.